Molecule: ribosomal RNA, 750 nt
Filed under: Actinomyces sp. VA3726
Lineage: Bacteria; Bacillati; Actinomycetota; Actinomycetes; Actinomycetales; Actinomycetaceae
Description: partial 16S ribosomal RNA
Rfam family: Bacterial small subunit ribosomal RNA
Source: RNAcentral
GACGAACGCUGGCGGCGUGCUUAACACAUGCAAGUCGAACGGUGAAGCCCUUUUUUGGGUGGAUGAGUGGCGAACGGGUGAGUAACACGUGAGUAACCUGCCCCCUUCUUCUGGAUAACCUCAUGAAAGUGGGGCUAAUACGGGAUAUUCUGGUCUGUGCGCAUGCAUGGGUUGGGAAAGGUUUUUUCUGGUGGGGGAUGGGCUCGCGGCCUAUCAGCUUGUUGGUGGGGUGAUGGCCUACCAAGGCGGUGACGGGUAGCCGGCCUGAGAGGGUGGACGGCCACACUGGGACUGAGACNNNNNNNNNNNNNNNNNNNNNNNNNNNNNNNNNNNNNAUUGCACAAUGGGCGCAAGCCUGAUGCAGCGACGCCGCGUGAGGGAUGGAGGCCUUCGGGUUGUGAACCUCUUUCGCCAGUGAAGCAGGCCUGCUCCUUUGUGGGUGGGUUGACGGUAGCUGGAUAAGAAGCGCCGGCUAACUACGUGCCAGCAGCCGCGGUAAUACGUAGGGCGCGAGCGUUGUCCGGAAUUAUUGGGCGUAAAGAGCUCGUAGGCGGCUGGUCGCGUCUGUCGUGAAAUCCUCUGGCUUAACUGGGGGCUUGCGGUGGGUACGGGCCGGCUUGAGUGCGGUAGGGGAGACUGGAAUUCCUGGUGUAGCGGUGGAAUGCGCAGAUAUCAGGAGGAACACCGGUGGCGAAGGCGGGUCUCUGGGCCGUUACUGACGCUGAGGAGCGAAAGCGUGGGGAGCGAACA